GCUCCAACGUUGAAUUAUGAUUGGUCGUGUCGGGUGGUUGCGCGCGCACUUCGAGUCACGUUUCGAGGGAGCAACCGCGAGUUCAGUAGCCGCCGUGCGGCCCGCGUGUAUUCGUCGGUUCAUUUUUUGUUUUGUCCUAUUACAGUGUGUUAUACUGAAGAAUAAAAAGAAGAAUUGUGGUAACAGCAAGAAGAAGAAGAAGAAAAAGAAGAAGAAGAAGAGAAGAAGAACACAAACACAGUGAAUGAAGGAAACAUACAACGACGUCGUUGGAUUAAUCUUAUAUUUCAUUGUGCUUUGAGUGAGCCCUAGGAUAUCAUCCCCUAGCUGUUCCGGAUUUAAUUCCAUCAUCAAUAUGGAUGCGCAAACUGAGCAAAUUGGACUUUAAAUAUCAACUGACUGAAUUUUACAUUUCCAUUUUUUAUUUUUUUUUUUUUGUUCAACACUUUCUAUAAAAGAUAU
Long non-coding RNA from Polistes dominula (European paper wasp), 462 nucleotides. Lineage: Eukaryota; Metazoa; Arthropoda; Insecta; Hymenoptera; Vespidae. The record is from RefSeq and is a predicted model, not a curated record.